Molecule: long non-coding RNA, 1119 nt
Filed under: Olea europaea subsp. europaea
Lineage: Eukaryota; Viridiplantae; Streptophyta; Magnoliopsida; Lamiales; Oleaceae
Source: RNAcentral
GAAAAUUUGCAUGAAAAUAGAUUCAGUUUUUUCUAACUUUUUGUUUUUAUGAAUUAUAAGCUAGAACACAGAUUUUUUUUUUUUUCAGCUUUGAGAAAAGAUAAUUUUUUUUAAAAGAUGCAUGUGAUAAAUGAUAAUCAUGAUAUAUAGACAAAAUCCUUCUAAAUUUCUUCUAUUUUUUGUAGGUAAACUUUUGACAAAAGUCCUUACCACAAGUCUCAUGUAUCUAUAAUUAGUAACUUGUACAUUUCAUUUCCAUUAAACCGACGAAAAAGUUCAUCGUUGUUGCCGUAUUUCCUCCUUUCGGUAAAUCAAAUGAGAAAUGUUUUUCUAGGAUGCCAAGAAGUAAAUAUUAUACUCAAAAAUAAUAAUAUCGAAGUUAUUAAACUCAACAAUUUGAUAAGCGAAUAAUUAAAGCUUUUGCAGUGGAAUAUUUGAGUCAAUAUUCGAGUUUUAUAACGAUUUCUCUCUCACUCUUCAUGAUAGAAAAUAAAAGCAUAAAAACUCCCAAAAAAUACGAGAAAAAUAUAAGAAAAUGGCCAAAAGAAAUUUGGUUAAGUUGCUGAUCAAAAGACAGUAAAAAGAUGUAACCUUAUGAUUAUUCUCAAUUAGGACAAAAUCUCUAAUUAUUAAGAGUCCUUAAACCUCAUUUAUUUCUGUCCAUUUGGCCAAACCAAACCAUGGAAAAAACAAAUCAAGAAAAAGACAGACAAACAAACUGUGAAAGUAAAUAAUGGAAGCCAAGCAUCAGACUUGCCUAGAGGCUGCAUUUCUUUCCUUCAACCCUUUGGCCUUAAAUAUUCGUCGACCGUCUCCUGAACUGCGUCGAAUUCAUCGAUCUUGAUUCCAUCCAUGACGCAGAUUUGCGUAUAGAAUUGUGAAAACCUGGCCAGCGGCACGGUAUACAAUUUCUUGGCAGCCAAAGUGGAUGUAUUUGCGUAAAACUUAAACAUGGUGAAGAAGAAGAAAGAGAAGGGGUGAGAGGUGGGGGAAGAAGGAAUGGAAAAUACUUAUAAUGGGGAAUAAUCUUGCUUAGUUCAUAGGUAAACUAUGGGAUGUAUUCAAUUGAUACUUACAGACUUAUAUAUAGACUUUUUUAAGUGGGUCACUUUUGUGAAU